Molecule: ribosomal RNA, 301 nt
Filed under: uncultured bacterium
Lineage: Bacteria
Description: partial 16S ribosomal RNA
Rfam family: Bacterial small subunit ribosomal RNA
Source: RNAcentral
CAGUAGCCGCGGGAAUACGAAGGGUGCAAGCGUUAAUCGGAAUUACUGGGCGUAAAGCGUGCGCAGGCGGUUCGUUAAGACAGAUGUGAAAUCCCCGGGCUUAACCUGGGAACUGCAUUUGUGACUGGCGAGCUAGAGUAUGGCAGAGGGGGGUAGAAUUCCACGUGUAGCAGUGAAAUGCGUAGAGAUGUGGAGGAAUACCGAUGGCGAAGGCAGCCCCCUGGGCCAAUACUGACGCUCAUGCACGAAAGCGUGGGGAGCAAACAGGAUUAGAGACCCCCGUAGUCCCUGUCUCUUAUAC